UCCCUAUGGGGCGCAGCAGGCGCGAAAACUUUACAAUGCUGGCAACAGCGAUAAGGGAACCUCGAGUGCCAGGUUACAAAUCUGGCUGUCGAGAUGCCUAAAAAGCAUUUCAUAGCAAGGGCCGGGCAAGACCGGUGCCAGCCGCCGCGGUAAUACA
This 157-nucleotide ribosomal RNA is filed under the name uncultured Methanosaeta sp. RNAcentral's name for it is "partial 16S ribosomal RNA". It matches the Rfam family "Archaeal small subunit ribosomal RNA", at positions 319 to 477 of the family's 1478-position model. The record is from RNAcentral. Lineage: Archaea; Methanobacteriati; Methanobacteriota; Methanomicrobia; Methanotrichales; Methanotrichaceae.